CUUCUCUCGAGUUAGCAGUGAGCCAGUGACUACUGAAUUGGCCACAAUCAAAGUUUUGGGUUCAGACGUUCAGUUUCCCGUCAUUCUCUGAAUUUCUCUUCUCUUUCCUCAUUUGCAUGUCUCCAUAGUUAUGAAAGGUUCCUUCUUUCCCCUUUUUCUUCCAUAUUGGACUGCAAUUCUGCAACUUCCAUCAUGUCCUUCAAAGUCGAGGAAGGUAUUUCUAAUAAUAGGAGAAUGCAGGGGAAAGGGAAGAAGUGGAAGCUAUGGAGGAGGCCAUUAGAAGAACUGAAUACUGAGCAAGUGUUCAAGACGACACCUUUGGUUUCGGAUUCACCCGGUGUUCAAAACUAUGCGAUAGUGCUGCUGUUGGAGGAUUUCAGGCUUGGUUUCUGUCUUAAGGGGACAAAGAGAGUUUCUUGAUCACUGACACAAGAAUGAUGUGAGUCGUGGAUUUUCAGCACUGUUUACUUGUAAGGAACUUGUAAGGAACUGUGAGAGAAGUCCGUCCAUGUUGGUAUCUGUCAGUUUGACUCAGUCCUAUACGAGGUAUGUUGUCUGCUUAAAAUUGCUAUUCACUCUUGUAGCCUAUUUUUUUCAAAGUAUAUUAAAAGGUAUUUAUCCAUUAUAUGAUGAUAUACUGGCUUAUGCAUGCUCGUUCUUUUUCAUUUGAGUAAAUGUUGCAUCAGGUAUGCCGAAUAUUCAUUCUGCAAGUCUCUUCUUUUGGCUUUGUGUGUAGCUAUAGAAGCUAAUUACAGUUUUUCUAUUUCGGGAAGGGGGAGGGGGGUGAUUGGACUAGUGGACUUGAGCUUUGAAUCACACAAUAUACUGACGUAUGUUUCCUAUAUUCGCAAUGUAAACCAUCCGUGACUGACUAUUCAAGACAUGAGUUUGACAUUGAAUAAAUUGUUGCUUAAAAGUUAUCAUAGUUCGUAAAAGCUCAAUAAUGCAAGCUUUACGUGUUUAUACUUUAUACUUGAUGUCAAAUUAAAAUGAUUUCCACAAUGGACUUGUUUUAAUGCUGAAAACACCUCACACUUUGCGUCAAUUUAUUUGGCUUUGUAUUGAGAAAGGUAUACCAUUUUGUUAAUGUAAUUUGUGAAUAAAUGUGAACUAUGCGGAGACUUGUGAACUUGUGGUAGAAUGAAAAUGCAGCUCCUUGUUCGUGUUCUUUUGUCAUUGUAGAAACAGGAACCGAAGUUCUAUUGUCUGUUUUAUCGGUAGUAAGGUGUUAUCAAACUCCGUUUUGGAGCCUUCUACCUUUUACAAGAUCAAUGUUUUGGAUAAAGGAAACGGAAAUGACAAUUGCUAAAUGUUGUCUUGGGUUAAGUUUUUUUUCCCUGCCUUAAUGUUACAGUAGGUAGCUGUUGAUGGGUAGUGCCACUUUAUGAUCAGUAAUUCAGUAGUAUUGGAAUCUCUCUCCCGUAAGAUCUGAAACUAUUGUUGUGGUUUAUUCUACUUCUUUUUAUCGUUUUGGGGUUUCAGAUUUAACUAUGAGAUCUAAUAACUUUGAUCACUCAUGGACUUGGUGGUAAGAUCAAUUUGAAAAGGUGUAUGGCAGACGAGCAGAAAAUUACAAAAUUAUACGAAGUAUUACUUUAAAGACCAAGGUAAAGAUACCAUAAAAGUAUGAACAAUUGACUUGGAAAUCGUGACGCAUUUGUUUGAACAUGUUAAUUGUUACAUUCCAUUUCAUUUACGUGUUGUCUUCUCUUCAUGCAACCCUAUUUGAAUUCGAAUGUGAAUCACUGUUCUUAUUUUCUCGUGUAUAUGGAAGUAGUCAGCCAAUAAAUCAUUGUUAUUACUUAUUAGGUUUUGGACUCCGUUAUUUGUAGAAUGUUUUUGAAGUUUUGCACUUAUUAAUCUAUAGUAACUGUUCUUGCUUAUACAUAUUGGUCUGUGAUAAGUACACGGCACUGCUUCAUAAUCUAAAGUCCUUCAGGACUUCUAACCAACUCGUAGUAAACUUAAGUCCUCUUACUCUGAAAUACCCAUGAUUUAAGUUCUAUGAUUGCAGACUAUUGUGGUCUGAUGUUGUAAGACCACUAUCUGAUAGUUUGUUCUUAGUUCAUCAAAAUAUUUGCUCUCUUUAAAGUCACAAUAAAAUAUACAAGUAGUUUAAAAACAUCGAAGUGUUGGAGCAUAUUUUCACGUAAGAAGGCCUGUGGUUAUUACCUUCUGAAGAUGUAUAUCGAUCCCUUUUGAUGUUUUUGACAUGCUUAAAGGGUAAAUUUCAUUGAAUCAUGCUUUUUUGGUAAGAAAUUUCUUGGUUCACAAUGAUGAUAUUUGUUACCUUAUCGACUUACCGUUCGCACCCCAAAGGAUCUUCAUAAAAGGAAGCAUAUCAUGUCUGAUUUUUUUUUUUAAAAAAAAUACUCCGCAUUUUAAAUUUUGUAUUUUAUGUAAUCAAUGGGGUGCUUUAAAAUUUUUAACCUUUCACAUGUAAAAUACCACCCACCUCAGCAUGACGUGGUGGAAACUCUAUGCCCUACUCCUAAACCCUAAUUCAUUCCCUAUAUAAAUGAUGCUCACACAUCUCUGAAUCAGUGUGCUUCUAUUGGCCUUCCUUCUAUCUCUCUCUUCUCUCUCUUCUCUCUCUUUCUUUGGUUUUCUUUGUCAUUGUUCUGAGUAGCAAGUUAUCAUGGCGAUCCAAAAGGAUCGAAUAGCUUUUAUGCUUGCUACCAUGAAACGUCCAAGGAAGAAGAAAAGAAAGAAGAAAUCUAUGUUCCAACAUAUAUCAUAUUGCAUCAGCGAUUUACCAAAAUAGUCCCUAAUGAACUGGAGUUGUCGCCGCACUUGGAUCCACUCUCCUUUCACCAUGUCCAGAUCCGAUCUUUCAAAAUUUCGUUAUUGGUCGAGUGUUGAAUGUUCUCUUACAAAAUCAACCUGGCUGAAAACGAAACAAGAUUGAGAAUGAGAUGGAUUUGGUGGAUCCCUCUGCAGACAUGAUCUCCUUCCUCGAGUACUCCAGUGAGAUGAAUGCAAGUAGUUCUUCAAAGGCCUGAUCUUUGCUAAGAGUGAUUUCAACUCGGCCUUGUUAACUCACCACCUGAAGUGUACAUAACUACAUAUGUACAUGUCAGUGAUUUUAACUCGGCCUUGUUAACUCACCACCUGAAGUGACUACAUAUGUACAUGUCAGUGAUUUCAACUCGGCCUUGUUAACUCACCAGCUGAAGUGUACAUAACUACAUAUGUAUAUGGUCAGUGACUCACUGGGACUUUUUAUGCAAGUAGGAAGGAGGGUAUCAUGGUCAUUUUGUUGCUGUAAGUUGUUGUAUCACACAGGAGAGAGAGUUUGGUGCAAUGUGCUGGGUGAUUUAUUUAUACUCUGUGUGUAUCAUAUGGAUUUAAGUUAGGAGGUUUUGAGAGAAGACUGUCCUAACUUCUGUGUGAUUUUCCUUUUAAAAAAAAUGUAUCAAGUGGAUUGCAAACGAAGUGUGUGCCAAAAAUAUUGUGAAAAAUGUAAGGUUUUGGGACGUUCUAACAUGUAUACAUAUAUUAUUGACCUUUA
Molecule: long non-coding RNA, 3511 nt
Organism: Spinacia oleracea (spinach)
Lineage: Eukaryota; Viridiplantae; Streptophyta; Magnoliopsida; Caryophyllales; Amaranthaceae
Exons: 4
Source: RefSeq, a predicted model, not a curated record